GCGGACGGGUGAGUAACGCGUAGGAAUUUACCAUGUAGUGGGGGAUAACGUUCGGAAACGGGCGCUAAUACCGCAUAAUCUCUAAGGAGGAAAGCGGGGGAUCUUCGGACCUCGUGCUAUAUGAUGAGCCUGCGUCGGAUUAGCUAGUUGGUGGGGUAAAGGCCUACCAAGGCGACGAUCCGUAGCUGGUCUGAGAGGAUGAUCAGCCACACUGGGACUGAGACACGGCCCAGACUCC
RNAcentral lists this ribosomal RNA (238 nucleotides) under uncultured bacterium. RNAcentral's name for it is "partial 16S ribosomal RNA". It matches the Rfam family "Bacterial small subunit ribosomal RNA", at positions 98 to 339 of the family's 1533-position model. The record is from RNAcentral.